Molecule: ribosomal RNA, 504 nt
Filed under: Polytolypa hystricis
Lineage: Eukaryota; Fungi; Ascomycota; Eurotiomycetes; Onygenales
Description: bacterial SSU rRNA
Rfam family: Bacterial small subunit ribosomal RNA
Source: RNAcentral
UAAGGGCUGAACCAGCAACUUGGAAGAAUAGGAAUUAGUAAGAUCCGUGUAAUUCUAAAUAGAAUAAAGAUAAUGACAAUUUUCUAUUUAUAAGUCUUGACCAAAUUACGUGCCAGCAGUCGCGGUAAUACGUAGAAGACUAGUGUUAGUCAUCUUUAUUAGGUUUAAAGGGUACCUAGACGGUAAAUUAAACCUGUUAAGGGAAUUUUUUUACUAGAGUUUUAUAGGAGAAGGUAGAAUUCUUGGAGUAGGGAUAAAAUAUUUUAAUACCAAGGAGACAGGUAACGGCGAAGGCGGCCUUCUAUGUAAAAACUGACGUUGAGGGACGAAGGCUUGGGUAUCGAGAAGGAUUAGAUACCCUAGUAGUCCAAGCAGAAAAUUAUGAAUGCCAUAAGCUAGAUAUUAUUUAGCAUAUAAAUGAAAGUGUAAGCAUUCCACCUCAAGAGUAAGAUGGCAACAUUGAAACUGAAAUCAUUAGACCGUUUCUGAAACCAGUAGUGAAGU